This 1435-nucleotide unclassified non-coding RNA is filed under the name Hevea brasiliensis (rubber tree). The record is from RNAcentral. Lineage: Eukaryota; Viridiplantae; Streptophyta; Magnoliopsida; Malpighiales; Euphorbiaceae.
GUACAUUUCAUUUUGCUUCAUUAUAGUGUAUCAAGAUGCACUUAAUUCUUUAUACAUUUCAGAAUACAUGAAAGAUUAGAAGAUAAAGGAAAUGUAGAACACAUAGCCAGAGAGAGUUACUCUCCCUGGAUGCCACUUGAGUACGGAAAUAAUGGACAGAGAAUCCAUGAAUCUUUAUGUGCUCUUCCUUCACUAUUGCUGCCUGUUUACCAAAACCAUGGGACAAAAUGAUACUUAGAGAUGCUUAUGUGAGUCUCUGAUGACCAGUCUAAAUGCCACGUGAACCUGAAAGUAGUGAGGUCGGUAGUCUUCGGACUAGCCACUCUGAGACUCGAGUUAGAGGUGUUGAUUGAAAAUAGAGAAAGUGUGAAUACAGAGUUUAGUAGAAAAUUUGACAGAGUAAACAUAUCUGAUUAACCACUGUUUCUCAUAUUUAUAGACUGUAGGCUAAGUAGCCAUUGUAGUUAUCUACAAGAAUUGCAUGAAUCACGAAUAUUGAGUUAAUAUCUCGAGAUUUCUUCCUAAAGAUCCGGCCUUAUCAUUGAUUUACAUUGCUGACAUUCGGUAGAGUUGAUGCUUGGGUUACUGGCUGAGCUUUGUCACUCUAUUCUUGUUUCUUAGCAGUCUUCUGCUCGGUCAGAGUUCUGCUCAGUCCAGGUUGCCCGAACAUCUUUUUGCUCGGUCUGGGCUGCCCAAGCAAUCCUUGCUUGGUCUGAAUAUUUAACUGAGUAUGACACUUUGAUUGCCACGUUGGAUUCUUCAUUCGAGCGCCGACUAUCUGACUCGGUUUCAGGCAUGUAAAAUCAUAACCACCUAAAUAAGUCAAGGAAGGUGGAAAUAUUUUUCCUUUUUUUCACCUUGAAGCUGAAUAGCCAAGCUCUGGAUCCUGGACAACAUUACUGUUGCAGCACAGCACAACUCUUUCUUAAGGUCCUUCACAAUCUUAUUAUAGCUUAAUUCCUUCUUUGACAGUUUAGACAGGCUUUUCCUUCCAUUUCUCUGUUUGUUUGCCUAUAUGCACAUAUUCCAUGGCCCCACCAUCUGAAUCCGUAGCAUUUGCCUCAGUGAAUAUGGAUCUGAAUAAACCGUACAAGACAAUGCACCAGAACUGUCAGAAUGCUUGCACAGUAUAUAAAUACAUGCUCAAUUGAUAUUUGAUAAUUUGGUGCCAAUUCAGGUCCAGUUCACAACAGAGAAUACUCCCAACUUUGAUAGCUAAAGUAUUAAGAAGGCUCUUGAAUCAGGAUGAAAAUUUAAAAGUUAUCAUUGCUGCAUUCUUGUGGCGUUAUGUUAUUCACUUUUAGUUCUUUUCCUGUUAAAAUCAUAAUAGCAAUAGCUCCAAGGUGCUAAGAGUUUCCAGGCAAAACUGAAUAACAAAUGAAGAAUGGACAUACCCAAGGCCUUAGGAAUUUGGACGUCGAGUUCAGACAUGAAC